UGGUAACGCCUUAAAAUAGUGAACGGGAUGCUGCGUUAUAAUCUUUUAAAUAGCCCCUAAGAACGUCCAUCCAGUCUGAUCUUUGCCUAAUGUGAUAUACCCUUGCAAUGAGAGCGUAUCUUCACUAACUUCUGCAUUGGACUCGUUUCCAAUUUUAUUGUAACCUGCCAGGUGUGGUGAUCACGUGAUACAGGUAAUCUCCGAUAGACACAGAGCUUUGCGCAGCGUUGGCCAUUUUUGAACGCUUUCGCUGGCAUUUCGCUAUAAUACCAAAGCAGCAUGUCAAAAACAUUGUCGAUAAUUUGGUUUUGCGCGGCAGUGCUUGGCUUUAAGUUCUUGCGGGCUCAGAUCCUGCCACCGCCUGUGUUCGAGGACCCAGUUGCUGAGACAUUGAAAGGACACGUUCGUGGGAAAGUAGUGACAUUCUGGGAGAUUGAUCCGAAGGAUCCCUAUCAAAAUAAGAGGAUAUACUACAACAUCAGUACCUUUUUGGGAAUUCCGUAUGCUCAGCCACCAGUCGUCAGUACCACGGGCACUUUACGAUUUAAGUAUCAGAGGCUGCAGUGCCUUGGCAGGGUACACUAGAAACGAAAGUGUACGGAGCAGCAUGCCCGCAGAUUCCCCAGGGAAAACUUGGACAGCUAAUCAAGAAAGUUCAUGAGGACUGCCUUUAUCUAAACGUAUUUUCGCCAAACACGUCGCAGACAAUGACCAGAAGUACCCGCGUCAUCAGCC
Molecule: long non-coding RNA, 735 nt
Organism: Priapulus caudatus
Lineage: Eukaryota; Metazoa; Priapulida; Priapulimorpha; Priapulimorphida; Priapulidae
Exons: 3
Source: RefSeq, a predicted model, not a curated record